Nicotiana tabacum (common tobacco) is the source of this 1344-nucleotide non-coding RNA. NCBI's taxonomy places the organism in Eukaryota, Viridiplantae, Streptophyta, Magnoliopsida, Solanales, Solanaceae. The record is from RefSeq and is a predicted model, not a curated record.
UUGGUAAACAGGAGAAGUUCCAUCAGAAAUGGACGCUGACAAAGAAAGGAAAACCGAGUCAUGGCCGAACCAUGACUGGGCCGAGUUAACUCAGUUAUGCCUCGUCGACAUCUUCUCUCGCCUUUCCAUCGAAGACCGAUGGCGCGGAGCCAUGUUUGUGUGCAAGCCAUGGUUUCAAGCUUGCAAAGACCCUACCCUCAACUCGGUAAUCGAACUCGAAGCUCAGUUCGACUCGGCCACUGAGUCGUCUCGUUACUGGACACCUGAAUUCGAGCGCAAAAUGGACUCUAUGCUUCGAUCUGUUGUACUUUGGAGUGAUGGGUCUCUUACUACAGUCCGGGUUAGACACUGCUCUGAUCGUUCCCUAGCUUUAAUUGCUGAAAGGUCUCCAAACCUUCAAGUUCUCUCUAUCAAAUGCUGUCCACAUGUAACUGAUGAAACGAUGUCUAAGAUCGCCUUAGGGUGCCCUUUGCUCAGGGAACUCGAUAUCAGCCUCUGCUAUCAAAUAUCUCACAUGUCUCUUGCUCUUAUAGGACAGCAUUGUGCUAAUUUGAGAAUUCUGAGGCGAAAUUUCACGAGUAGGUUAGAUCUUUCCCGACAACAAUGUUUUGUCCCCGAGGAGUAUCUAGAUGCCUAUCCUCAAGAUGGCGAUUCAGAAGCUGCUGCAAUUGGAAAAUUUAUGUUCAAACUUGUGCAACUUGAGCUUCGUUUCUUCGACUUGACUAAUAAAGGACUUGCUUUGAUAUGUGAAGGGUGUGUAAAACUUGAGCAUUUGGAUCUAUCUGGAUGUACAGAUGUUACUAGCUCGGAUAUUUCAAACGCCUCAUUGAAUCUUAAGCAGUUGAAAACCUUGAAGAAGCCUCAGUUUUACUUCUCAAUGUUAGGAUCUCACACUGAGAGGUAUAUAUGGGCACUGGCAGCUGAAUGAUGAGCGUUUCCGAACAGGUAACAUCCGAAUUUAAUCAGGCAACGAAUGAGCGAUGAUAAGCACAAUGAUCCGAAUUUGGAUCAUUGUGCUUUCUAAUCAGGCAAGGAAUGAGCGUUUCCUCGACUGCUUGUAUAUUGUGCUUUCUAAUUGUGUACUUAAUAAGGGCUAUGUAUAAAUAGAGGAAGAUUAUGUUUAACGCUCUUGAUUACUUAGUAGAAAGGUAUAGUAUUCGACGAGCUUUAGCUGUGUGCAUGUGUAUAUACAUGAGAUAAUUGAACAUAAGUACAACCCACACAUAUACAUUGCAACCAGGUUGUGAUCCAGUCACGACUUUGCAAAUCUGUAGCCCAAAAGAUAAUAGGUCAAGGUUCAAAAGAACAACUUUUUUCAUGCAAGGUUCCUUUUACUUUCUCCUU